GUAGAUGGACUUCCAUAUGCUGAAAAGGCUGCAUGUGGAGGCUAUCAUACCUGUGUUAUUACAGGUGGUGGAGAACUGUACGUGUGGGGCACCAAUGAAAAUGGGUGUCUUGGUAUUGGAUCUACAGAUGUCGCUCAUUUACCUGAAAGAGUUGAAGGACCAUUUUUGAGGCAUUCAGUUUCUGAGGUAUCCUGUGGUUGGAAGCAUACAGCAGCAAUUUCUGGAGGAAAUGUUUACACUUGGGGAUGGGGAGGCUCCCAUGGGACGUUUUCUGUAGAUGGACAUUCUUCUGGCGGACAACUGGGUCAAGGAAAUGAUGUUGAUUACAUUAAGCCUACAAAAAUCAACUUUCGUAGACACGUAAAAGCAUUGCAAGUAUCCUGUGGGUUUAACCAUACAGGUGCUAUAUUUGAAUACAACUAGUUGGAACAUCAGUCUCGUUGUUUCUUGUCACGAAGGCAAAAAUAUAAUCUGCUGCUUACGGAAGGUUUGCGAAUUAGCUAAAUCUGACCUAAAUUCAAUUUCACGAUCACAUAUAUAAGCAGUCUGUUAUUGCAGCUAUACACUCCGCUUAACGAUUUGAAUGUAACCUUCAUACUAAACCUGUUUAUACCCAGUUUGUACCUUAUAAAUUCUAGCUUGUAUCAAAUAGAAUACGGAAA
Molecule: unclassified non-coding RNA, 662 nt
Filed under: Hevea brasiliensis (rubber tree)
Lineage: Eukaryota; Viridiplantae; Streptophyta; Magnoliopsida; Malpighiales; Euphorbiaceae
Source: RNAcentral